GUUUUGUUUUUUACAUAUACUGUUGAAAUCAGAUCAGCAAUAUAUAAAAACGCAAUCAUUUAUAAUAUUAUUGUGAUUUUGAAGUUUUCAAGUUUUGAAAACAUGAUCGUUCCAAAAAAUGUUCUCCUUCUAUCUUUGGCUAUCUUUGCCCUAGUAAAUGAUGAAUUGUGCAUGAUGAAAGUAAGAUUUAUUAACCCCAAUCGAAUAACACAUUACCAUAAUAUUGCUGCAACAUUGAUUAUGUCUGUCAUUUGCAAUAUAGUCGGGCAAUAUUUAGGCAAUAUUGCUAUCAAUAUUGAUCCAUAGCGGAUCGGUUCAACGCUUUUUGAAUGGAAAAGUGAUGAAAAUUCAACGAUCACUAAAAAUGUUUUAAAAGCAAAAUAUAAUAAUGUAACUAUUGGGAAUUAUAGAAAAAGUGGAAAAGUUAACGUUACUAAUGUUACUAACGUUACUAAUACUAAUAAUAAUAUAAAAUUGAGAUAAUUUAUUUAAGUCCAAUAAACCAAAAAGAUUAUUAUUAGCCCAUUUUUUGAAUAAAUGAACCUGAAAUGGUGAGCAUCGGUCACCAAGAAGUUGAUGUUGGAUUAACCGAUGUCGCGAUAAUUUUUCACCAAUUUUUCUUAGAAAAUUAAAUUGGAAUGGCAAUUUAUGAUCGACUUACCAAUGUUUUCUAGACAUUUUCCUAAGGCAAUUAUUCUGACUUGGUGAACAUUGAAAACCACGAAGUCGUUCAUGGACGUCCUGUUGUCCAAAUGAUACAUAACUAAUUUUUCCGAGGACAUUACAUUGGAAUGGUGAAAAUUGGUCACCAAGGAGUGAUUCAGGAACUUACCAAUUUCCAGAUGAUUUAUGGUCCAUUUUUCCAAAAAAAUAAUUUAAACAAGGUUAAUACCUGACACCAGGAAAUGGUUGUUCCAUUUUCCAAUGUCCAGAUAAUAUCUGACCAAUUUUUCGGAGAAAUAAUCAUUGUUAUGGCGAACAUCAAUCAACAGGAAGUGAUUCAUAGUCUUACCGAUAUCAACUAAAUUUCAGGAUAAUUUUUCGGAUGAAAGUACCUUAAAAAUUCGUACAUCAAACAUCAGAAAGUACUUUAAGCAAUCAUUAAUAAUAUAAUGAUAAUUAUGAUGAUUUAAUGAUAAAUAAUAAUUUUUAACCAUUCUCGAGGAAAUUAAAUUCGAAUGGCGAACACUGGUCAGCAGAAAAUUAUUUAUCGAUAUACCAAUGUUUACAUAAUUUCUGGUUAAUUUCUACUACAAAUUAUCAGAUAAUAAUUACUAUUUCACUUUUUCAAGGAAUUCAAUUAUAAACAUAAAGAUCGUGCAACAAACAAUGUACAUUU
Molecule: long non-coding RNA, 1339 nt
Organism: Leptopilina boulardi
Lineage: Eukaryota; Metazoa; Arthropoda; Insecta; Hymenoptera; Figitidae
Exons: 3
Source: RefSeq, a predicted model, not a curated record